Molecule: ribosomal RNA, 496 nt
Filed under: uncultured bacterium
Lineage: Bacteria
Description: partial 16S ribosomal RNA
Rfam family: Bacterial small subunit ribosomal RNA
Source: RNAcentral
GAUGAACGCUGGCGGCGUGCCUAAUACAUGCAAGUCGAGCGAACAGACGAGGAGCUUGCCCCUCUGAAGUUAGCGGCGGACGGGUGAGUAACACGUGGAUAACCUACCUAUAAGAAUGGGAUAACUUCGGGAAACCGGAGCUAAUACCGGAUAAUAUAUUGAACCGAAUGGUUCAAUAGUGAAAGACGGUUUUGCUGUCACUUAUAGAUGGAUACGCGCCGCAUUAGCUAGUUGGUAAGGUAACGGCUUACCAAGGCAACGAUGCGUAGCCGACCUGUGAGGAUGAUCGGCAACCCGGGAAAGAAGGCACGGGCCAACCCCCUACGGGAGGCAGCAGUAAGAAAUCUACCGGAAUGGGCGGAAGCUUGACGGAGAAACGGCACGUGAGUGAUGAAGGGCUUCGGAUCGUAAAACUUUUUUAUUAGGGAAGAACAAAAGUGUAAGUUACGAUGCGAGACUGGACGGUACCUAAGCAGAAACCCCCGGCUAAUUACGU